This 699-nucleotide ribosomal RNA is filed under the name uncultured bacterium. Its description in RNAcentral is "partial 16S ribosomal RNA". The record is from RNAcentral.
UACGGUUACCUUGUUACGACUUCAUCCCAGUUACCAACUACACCUUAGGACCUUGCCAAUGUUGGCGCAGAUACUUCGGGUGCUGUCGGCUUCCAUGAUGUGACGGGCGGUGUGUACAAGACCCGGGAACGUAUUCACGGCACCGUAGCUGAUGUGCCAUUACUAGCGAUUCCAACUUCAUGGAGGCGAGUUGCAGCCUCCAAUCCGAACUGAGCCCAGUUUUGUAGAUUUCCUCCACCUCGCGGUCUCGGUUCUCAUUGUACUGGACAUUGUAGUACGUGUGCAGCCCUAGGCGUAAGGGCCAUACUGACCUGACGUCAUCCCCACCUUCCUCCCAGUUGAUCUGGGCAGUCUGACUAGAGUCCUCAACUUAAUGUUAGUAACUAGUCACAGGGGUUGCGCUCGUUGCCGGACUUAACCGAACAUCUCACGACACGAGCUGACGACGGCCAUGCAGCACCUGUGUAAAGUCUCCGAAGAGUCACACGCUUUCACGUGCUUAGCGAUACAUGUCAAGCCUAGGUAAGGUUCUUCGCGUUGCAUCGAAUUAAGCCACAUACUCCACCGCUUGUGCGGGUCCCCGUCAAUUUCUUUGAGUUUUAGUCUUGCGACCGUACUCCCCAGGCGGUGCGCUUAACGCGUUAGCUCCGGCACGGAAAGGGUCGGACCUUCCCACACCAAGCGCACAUCGUUUACUGC